RNAcentral lists this transfer RNA (72 nucleotides) under Triticum turgidum subsp. durum (durum wheat). Its description in RNAcentral is "Triticum durum (durum wheat) tRNA". It matches the Rfam family "tRNA". From Rfam's summary of the family: Transfer RNA (tRNA) molecules are approximately 80 nucleotides in length. Their secondary structure includes four short double-helical elements and three loops (D, anti-codon, and T loops). Lineage: Eukaryota; Viridiplantae; Streptophyta; Magnoliopsida; Poales; Poaceae. The record is from Rfam by way of RNAcentral. RNAcentral also lists the same sequence under 1 other name.
GUGUCCAUAGCUCAGUGGUAGAGCAAUUGACUGCAGAUCAAUAGGUCACCGGUCCGAACCCGGUUGGGCCCU